Citrobacter koseri ATCC BAA-895 is the source of this 95-nucleotide small RNA. It matches the Rfam family "STnc250 Hfq binding RNA". The record is from Rfam. NCBI's taxonomy places the organism in Bacteria, Pseudomonadati, Pseudomonadota, Gammaproteobacteria, Enterobacterales, Enterobacteriaceae.
GAAGUUAUGCUUCGCAAAUAAAUUUCUGGAAGAUAUCCUGAUCCUGAAAAGGAUAAGAAAAAGGCGACUCAAAGUAAGUCGCCUUUUUUGUGUCU